This 497-nucleotide ribosomal RNA is filed under the name uncultured bacterium. Its description in RNAcentral is "partial 16S ribosomal RNA". It matches the Rfam family "Bacterial small subunit ribosomal RNA", at positions 28 to 507 of the family's 1533-position model. The record is from RNAcentral.
GAUGAACGCUGGCGGCGUGCCUAAUACAUGCAAGUCGAGCGAACGGACGAGAAGCUUGCUUCUCUGAUGUUAGCGGCGGACGGGUGAGUAACACGUGGAUAACCUACCUAUAAGACUGGGAUAACUUCGGGAAACCGUAGCUAAUACCGGAUAAUAUUUUGAACCGCAUGGUUCAAAAGUGAAAGACGGUCUUGCUGUCACUUAUAGAUGGAUCCGCGCUGCAUUAGCUAGUUGGUAAGGUAACGGCUUACCAAGGCAACGAUGCAUAGCCGACCUGAGAGGGUGAUCGGCCACACUGGAACUGAGACACGGUCCAGACUCCUACGGGAGGCAGCAGUAGGGAAUCUUCCGCAAUGGGCGAAAGCCUGACGGAGCAACGCCGCGUGAGUGAUGAAGGUCUUCGGAUCGUAAUACUCUGUUAUUAGGGAAGAACAUAUGUGUAAGUAACUGUGCACAUCUUGACGGUACCUAAUCAGAAAGCCACGGCUAACUACGUG